RNAcentral lists this unclassified non-coding RNA (379 nucleotides) under uncultured Gammaproteobacteria bacterium. Its description in RNAcentral is "contains 16S-23S intergenic spacer region". The record is from RNAcentral. Lineage: Bacteria; Pseudomonadati; Pseudomonadota; Gammaproteobacteria.
UCCGAGUUGACCCCGGCAGUCUCCUACGAGUCCCCGGCAUUACCCGCUGGCAACAUAGGAUAAGGGUUGCGCUCGUUGCGCCACGUAAGGCAACACCUCACGACACGAGCUGACGACAGCCAUGCAGCACCUGUGUUACGGCUCCCUUUCGGGCACACCUCCCUCUCGAGAGGCUUCCGUACAUGUCAAGGGUAGGUAAGGUUUUUCGCGUUGCAUCGAAUUAAUCCACAUCAUCCACCGCUUGUGCGGGUCCCCGUCAAUUCCUUUGAGUUUUAACCUUGCGGCCGUACUCCCCAGGCGGUCAACUUCACGCGUUAGCUUCGUUACCAAGGAAUUGCUUCCCCGACAACCAGUUGACAUAGUUUACGGCGUGGACUAC